GGACAGCACCUAGCGGAGAUAUCUGGUGAACUGCCCUUGGACUCUAUGCCCAGCACCGCUCAGAAAUUAUUCGCUACCUUCAGAGAGACAGGGCACAGCUCAGCCUGUUAGGUAGGCUGGAGACUCACACUUCACUCGAACGCACAACACUGAGGUGGUUUGGGAAGCACAGUAACAAAGAAGAGAUUUAAGUGAUACUGAGCAAGAGAAAGACAAAUUUCAAACAGACAAACAAAACACAACACACUUUGCAGUGACUAAAACUGAAUCUUAACAAAUCAAUAUCUUUGCCUUAGCAGUUUCCAGACUAACAUCUCAGCUUUCCUAACAGACCUUAUUUGAUGUCCCUGUAUGGUACAAAACUUCUCUGUCGAAUCCGCUGAUUUGAUUGCUUAAGUCUUCUGGUUUCGGACCCUCUGUUCUCCUUCUGGGGUGCCUGGACCCUGAUUGUAACAUCUCUCUUCCAGUACGUGGCCCAGCCUCUUAAACAGAUGUGUGCUGCAGUCAGCCCAGCGCAGGGAGCAGUGGGGACAGAUGAUCUCAUCCUGUCAAACCAAGCAACAGGGGUCCCAUUGAGGCUUAGAUGGAAGAUCCCAGGCAUCUCCUGGAGAGGAUGCGUCCGGGACCCUGGAGACUGUUUCGUACAAGAGGUUUGAGCGGGGAAAGAUCAGUCACUGUCAUGACCAGGUCAUUAACCUGGGUCUGCAGGGUUCCUGGGAGCAGCCACACUCCAGCACCCCACCUGGAAGCCUACGAAAAACUGCUUACCUAGGACUGACUAAGUGCAGACCCAGUUUGAGGCUCCAUCCCUGAGGCCCAUUGGCAGAGUCUCAGAGCAGCUAAUUGGCCCCCGGGAACUCCUUAAACCAGCAGCGGGAACAAGAAGCUGUCUGAACACCCGAGCU
Long non-coding RNA from Dermochelys coriacea (leatherback sea turtle), 905 nucleotides. RefSeq lists it as uncharacterized. The record is from RefSeq and is a predicted model, not a curated record. The transcript has 3 exons. NCBI's taxonomy places the organism in Eukaryota, Metazoa, Chordata, Testudines, Dermochelyidae.